UACAGAGGGUGCGAGCGUUGUUCGGAAUUACUGGGCGUAAAGCGCGCGCAGGCGGCUCUUUAAGUCUGACGGUGAAAUGCCGGGGCUCAACCCCGUGCCCGCCGCGGAUACUGGAGGGCUGGAGACACGUAGAGGCAAGCGGAAUUCCGGGUGUAGCAGUGGAAUGCGUAGAGAUCCGGAAGAACACCGGAGGCGAAGGCGGCUUGCUGGGCGGAGUCUGACGCUGAGGCGCGAAAGCGUGGGGAGCAAACGGG
RNAcentral lists this ribosomal RNA (254 nucleotides) under uncultured bacterium. Its description in RNAcentral is "partial 16S ribosomal RNA". It matches the Rfam family "Bacterial small subunit ribosomal RNA", at positions 524 to 776 of the family's 1533-position model. The record is from RNAcentral.